ACUAACAACAUCAACAACAACUAACAACUUCAACAACUUCAACACAAAUCCAAUCUUUUCUCAAAUCAUAAAAAUGAGCUUGGUGUGUGGGGGAAAGGAUCAAACCACACAAAGAACUCACAUACCUUGAUAGGGAUCACCCCCGACGAAAAUCCACGACGGAAACUUGUUGAUCUCCUUUCUCCUCUUCUUCUCCUCUUUUUCUCUUCUUCUUCUCUUCUUCACUCUCAAGACCC
This 236-nucleotide long non-coding RNA is filed under the name Solanum tuberosum (potato). RNAcentral describes it as "long non-coding RNA (STUB_LNC000692)". The record is from RNAcentral. Lineage: Eukaryota; Viridiplantae; Streptophyta; Magnoliopsida; Solanales; Solanaceae.